GGAGAGAUGGCUGAGCUGGUCUAAGGCGCACGACUGGAAAUCGUGUGAGGUUUAACCGCCUCCGAGAGUUCGAAUCUCUCUCUCUCCG
Molecule: transfer RNA, 88 nt
Filed under: Ruminiclostridium cellobioparum subsp. termitidis CT1112
Lineage: Bacteria; Bacillati; Bacillota; Clostridia; Eubacteriales; Oscillospiraceae
Description: [Clostridium] termitidis CT1112 tRNA
Rfam family: tRNA
About the family: Transfer RNA (tRNA) molecules are approximately 80 nucleotides in length. Their secondary structure includes four short double-helical elements and three loops (D, anti-codon, and T loops).
Source: Rfam by way of RNAcentral